Molecule: ribosomal RNA, 301 nt
Filed under: uncultured bacterium
Lineage: Bacteria
Description: partial 16S ribosomal RNA
Rfam family: Bacterial small subunit ribosomal RNA
Source: RNAcentral
CAGUAGCCACGGUAACACGUAGGGUGCGAGCGUUAAUCGGAAUUACUGGGCGUAAAGCGUGCGCAGGCGGUUGUGUAAGACAGGUGUGAAAUCCCCGGGCUUAACCUGGGAACUGCGCUUGUGACUGCACAGCUAGAGUAUGGCAGAGGGGGGUGGAAUUCCACGUGUAGCAGUGAAAUGCGUAGAGAUGUGGAGGAACACCGAUGGCGAAGGCAGCCCCCUGGGCCAAUACUGACGCUCAUGCACGAAAGCGUGGGGAGCAAACAGGAUUAGAUACCCGAGUAGUCCCUGUCUCUUAUAA